Leucobacter sp. 7(1) is the source of this 377-nucleotide non-coding RNA. The record is from Rfam. Lineage: Bacteria; Bacillati; Actinomycetota; Actinomycetes; Micrococcales; Microbacteriaceae.
UGGGCCGGUGAGGCGGUCGCGUCGCGGCACGCAAGUGCACGCGCCGAGGAACGUCCGGGCUCCGCAGGGGAGAACGGUGGGUAACGCCCACCCGGGGUAACCCGCGAGAAAGUGCAACAGAGAGUAGACCGCCAGGGGUGGCUUGCCGCCUCCGGUAAGGCUGAAAGGGUGGUGUAAGAGACCACCGGCGUUCGUGGUAACACGGGCGGCCAGGUAAACCUCGUUCGGAGCAAGGCCAGACAGAGGAUGAUGACGCGCCCCGCCGAGUCCUCGGGUAGGCCGCUAGAGGGUACUGGCAACAGUGCCCCGAGAGAGAUGACCGUCAGAGUCGGCUUUGGCCGUCGAGACAGAACCCGGCGUAUGAUCCGGCCCAUUCC